AAGUCGUAACAAGGUUUCCGUAGGUGAACCUGCGGAAGGAUCAUUAACACGUUUCAAAACGUAUCAACCAACCGGUUAAGUGCAAACUUAUUCCCUAAUUUAGGAAGCAGUUCAAAGAUCUUUAGUGAUGGGUGAAUCUUCGGAUUUGCAGAGACUUUUGUGCUAGGGUCUUGAGCCCAAUGCUUUCUUCUUUAGGCUAUCCCCUUUUUUUCCAUCACUUCUACAUACCAUUUUCACCCCUUUAAAUUUUUUGACUAAAUCUUUCGAACGAAGAAAUUUGUUUGGAAUUGUAUAUCUAACACUGUACAACUCUUAGCAAUGGAUAUCUUGGUUCUC
RNAcentral lists this unclassified non-coding RNA (336 nucleotides) under fungal sp. Its description in RNAcentral is "partial internal transcribed spacer region". The stretch from base 1 to 46 matches the Rfam family "Eukaryotic small subunit ribosomal RNA", at positions 1786 to 1831 of the family's 1831-position model. Lineage: Eukaryota; Fungi. The record is from RNAcentral.